RNAcentral lists this ribosomal RNA (395 nucleotides) under uncultured bacterium. RNAcentral describes it as "bacterial SSU rRNA". It matches the Rfam family "Bacterial small subunit ribosomal RNA", at positions 30 to 429 of the family's 1533-position model. The record is from RNAcentral.
AUUGAACGCUGGCGGCAUGCCUUACACAUGCAAGUCGAACGGCAGCGGACCUUCGGGUGCCGGCGAGUGGCGAACGGGUGAGUAAUAUAUCGGAACGUACCUUUCAGUGGGGGAUAACGUAGCGAAAGUUACGCUAAUACCGCAUAUUCUGUGAGCAGGAAAGCAGGGGAUCGCAAGACCUUGCGCUGAUUGAGCGGCCGAUAUCAGAUUAGCUAGUUGGUGAGGUAAAGGCUCACCAAGGCGACGAUCUGUAGCGGGUCUGAGAGGAUGAUCCGCCACACUGGAACUGAGACACGGUCCAGACUCCUACGGGAGGCAGCAGUGGGGAAUUUUGGACAAUGGGCGCAAGCCUGAUCCGGCCAUGCCGCGUGAGUGAAGAAGGCCUCGGUUGUAAG